RNAcentral lists this ribosomal RNA (764 nucleotides) under uncultured bacterium. RNAcentral describes it as "bacterial SSU rRNA". It matches the Rfam family "Bacterial small subunit ribosomal RNA", at positions 60 to 854 of the family's 1533-position model. The record is from RNAcentral.
AGUCGCACGAGAAAGUGGAGCAAUCCAUGAGUACAGUGGCGUACGGGUGAGUAACACGUGGAUCAUCUACCUCUUAGUGGGGAAACAACCCUGGGAAACCGGGGCUAAUACCGCAUAAGCUCGAGAGAGGAAAGCAGCAAUGCGCUGAGAGAGGAGUCCGCGGCCGAUUAGCUAGUUGGCAGGGUAAAUGCCUACCAAGGCAAAGAUCGGUAGCCGGCCUGAGAGGGCACACGGCCACACUGGCACUGAAACACGGGCCAGGAUCCUACGGGAGGCAGCAGUGGGGAAACCUUGCACAAUGGGGGAAACCCUGAUGCAGCGACGCCGCGUGAGCGAUGAAGCCCUUCGGGGUGUAAAGCUCUUUCGGCAGGGAAGAUCAUGACGGUACCUGCAGAAGCAGCUGCGGCUAACUACGUGCCAGCAGCCGCGGUAAUACGUAGGCAGCGAGCGUUGUUCGGAGUUACUGGGCGUAAAGGGUGUGUAGGCGGUUGCUUAAGUUUGGUGUGAAAUCUCCCGGCUCAACUGGGAGGGUGCGCCGAAUACUGAGUGGAUCGAGUGCGGGAGAGGAGAGUGGAAACUCCUGGUGUAGCGGUGAAAUGCGUAGAUAUCAGGAGGAACACCGGCGGUGUAGACGGCUCUCUGGACCGUAACUGACGCUGAGACACGAAAGCGUGGGUAGCAAACAGGAUUAGAUACCCUGGUAGUCCACGCCCUAAACGAUGCAUAUUUGGUGUGGGUCAUUCAGUUGAUCCGUGCCGGAGCUA